Molecule: ribosomal RNA, 405 nt
Filed under: uncultured bacterium
Lineage: Bacteria
Description: bacterial SSU rRNA
Rfam family: Bacterial small subunit ribosomal RNA
Source: RNAcentral
CAGGGAAUCUUGCGCAAUGGGCGAAAGCCUGACGCAGCGACACCGCGUGGAGGAUGAAGGCUUUAGAGUUGUAAACUCCUUUUCCCAGGGAAGAGAACGGACGGUACCUGGGGAAUAAGCAUCGGCUAACUACGUGCCAGCAGCCGCGGUAAUACGUAGGAUGCGAGCGUUGUCCGGAUUUACUGGGCGUAAAGGGCGAGUAGGCGGUUGUUCAAGUCUUAUGUGAAAUCUCCCGGCCCAACUGGGAGGCGCCAUAGGAAACUGAAUAACUUGAGGACAGCAGAGGAAAGCGGAAUUCCCGGAGUAGCGGUGAAAUGCUUAGAUACCGGGAGGAACACCAGAGGCGAAGGCGGCUUUCUGGGCUGCACCUGACGCUGAGGCGCGAAAGCAUGGGGAGCGAACCGG